AUUGAACGCUGGCGGCAUGCUUUACACAUGCAAGUCGAACGGUAACAGGCCUUCGGGUGCUGACGAGUGGCGAACGGGUGAGUAAUGCAUCGGAACGUACCCAGAGGUGGGGGAUAACGCAGCGAAAGCUGUGCUAAUACCGCAUGUGAUCUGAGGAUGAAAGCGGGGGACCGAGCAGCAAUGUUUGGCCUCGCGCCUUUGGAGCGGCCGAUGUCGGAUUAGCUAGUUGGUGGGGUAAAGGCCUACCAAGGCGACGAUCCGUAGCUGGUCUGAGAGGACGACCAGCCACACUGGGACUGAGACACGGCCCAGACUCCUAUGGGAGGCAGCAGUGGGGAAUUUUGGACAAUGGGCGCAAGCCUGAUCCAGCAAUGCCGCGUGCGGGAAGAAGGCCUUCGGGUUGUAAACCGCUUUUGGCAGGAACGAAACGGUGUCCGCUAAUACCGGGCGCUAAUGACGGUACCUGCAGAAUAAGCACCGGCUAACUACGUG
Molecule: ribosomal RNA, 492 nt
Filed under: uncultured bacterium
Lineage: Bacteria
Description: partial 16S ribosomal RNA
Rfam family: Bacterial small subunit ribosomal RNA
Source: RNAcentral